CACUUCUCAAUGAGCUCCUUCCUGCCAACAAAUCCGUGGCAGCCUAUGGAUUCGCACGAGAAGGAUAUUAACUGCUCAGUAGUGGCCAACUCACAAUGGGGCUCCCAUCAGUUGUGAUGAGCCACUGCU
This 129-nucleotide small nucleolar RNA is filed under the name Calidris pugnax (ruff). RNAcentral's name for it is "Small nucleolar RNA SNORA75 (ENSCPUG00000017096.1)". Lineage: Eukaryota; Metazoa; Chordata; Aves; Charadriiformes; Scolopacidae. The record is from RNAcentral.